Pseudopipra pipra is the source of this 532-nucleotide long non-coding RNA. RefSeq lists it as uncharacterized. The record is from RefSeq and is a predicted model, not a curated record. Lineage: Eukaryota; Metazoa; Chordata; Aves; Passeriformes; Pipridae. The transcript is spliced from 3 exons.
AGGCUUUGAGAGAAGAGCUGUCCAGUCUGCUUGGGAAGUGUGAAAAACUGGAGAAGAGCAAAUGCCAGCUGCAAGAAGAGAUGACAAAACUCCAUCAUCGACUGGAGACUUUGGGGCUGGAUGGCAGCCAAACAGAACAAUGGAAAAGAGAGGUGGCAGAACGAGCUGACCAGGAAAUAAGUCCAAAGCUACAAGACGUCAGCCUCGUUUUGCCAGCACAGGCAGCCCACCAGGACACAUUAGGACAAAUUGGAGACAGUCAUUGUGAUCCCAUGAGAAUCCAGCUGGAAGAAAGAAUUAGAGAUCUGGAAAGUGAAUUGGACAGGGUCAAAAACACCCAACAAGAGAGUGCUUCUCGGAAAGAAGCAACACAGGGCCAAAUGGAAAUGUACAAGGAGCUGUAUCUGGAGGAAGUGACAACCAGAAGAUGCCUUGCCAAGAAACUGGAAAGGCUGGAAAAGCUUCUGAGGAUAGACAGGAGGAAAGUCAGGGUUAAUGAAGAGAAAGAAAGCCAGUCCCAGCUGGAAGAAAU